Molecule: ribosomal RNA, 549 nt
Filed under: uncultured bacterium
Lineage: Bacteria
Description: bacterial SSU rRNA
Rfam family: Bacterial small subunit ribosomal RNA
Source: RNAcentral
ACGAAGAACCUUACCAGGUCUUGACAUCCCGUUGACCGCUAUGGAGACAUAGUUUUCCCUUCGGGGACAAUGGUGACAGGUGGUGCAUGGUUGUCGUCAGCUCGUGUCGUGAGAUGUUGGGUUAAGUCCCGCAACGAGCGCAACCCUUGAUCUUAGUUGCCAUCAUUUAGUUGGGCACUCUAAGGUGACUGCCGGUGAUAAACCGGAGGAAGGUGGGGAUGACGUCAAAUCAUCAUGCCCCUUAUGACCUGGGCUACACACGUGCUACAAUGGACGGUACAAACGGUUGCCAACCCGCGAGGGGGAGCUAAUCCGAUAAAACCGUUCUCAGUUCGGAUUGUAGGCUGCAACUCGCCUACAUGAAGCCGGAAUCGCUAGUAAUCGCGGAUCAGCAUGCCGCGGUGAAUACGUUCCCGGGCCUUGUACACACCGCCCGUCACACCACGAGAGUUUGUAACACCCGAAGUCGGUGAGGUAACCUUUUGGAGCCAGCCGCCGAAGGUGGGAUAGAUGAUUGGGGUGAAGUCGUAACAAGGUAAGCGUAGAUGA